Molecule: ribosomal RNA, 253 nt
Filed under: uncultured bacterium
Lineage: Bacteria
Description: partial 16S ribosomal RNA
Rfam family: Bacterial small subunit ribosomal RNA
Source: RNAcentral
UACGUAGGGGGCAAGCGUUGUCCGGAUUUAUUGGGCGUAAAGAGCGUGUAGGCGGCCUGAAAGGUCAGCUGUGAAAACUCGAGGCUCAACCUCGAGACGUCGGUUGAAACCAUCUGGCUAGAGUCCGGAAGAGGAGUGUGGAAUUCCCGGUGUAGCGGUGAAAUGCGCAGAUAUCGGGAAGAACACCAGUGGCGAAGGCGACUUACUGGACACAUAUUGACGCUGAGGUGCGAAAGCGUGGGGAGCAAACAGG